RNAcentral lists this transfer RNA (58 nucleotides) under Erinaceus europaeus (western European hedgehog). It matches the Rfam family "tRNA", at positions 8 to 63 of the family's 71-position model. Rfam says of the family: Transfer RNA (tRNA) molecules are approximately 80 nucleotides in length. Their secondary structure includes four short double-helical elements and three loops (D, anti-codon, and T loops). Lineage: Eukaryota; Metazoa; Chordata; Mammalia; Eulipotyphla; Erinaceidae. The record is from Rfam by way of RNAcentral.
UGGCUCAGUAGUAGAGCACCUGCCUUGCAAGCAGGAGGCCCUGGGUUUGAUACCCCAG